GUGGGCUCUUAGUCCAUAUGACUGGUAUCUUUAUAAGAGAAGAGACACAAACACAUGAGAUGAAGGAAGAAUGCCAUGUGAUGACAGAGGCAGAGAUCAAAGUGUUACAGAUGCAGCCAAGAAAUGCCAAGCAUAUCCCAUCACCAGGAGCUGAGGAGAGGCCUGGGGCAUUCUCUCCUUCACAGGCUGUGGAACCAACCUGGAUGGUGCCCUGAUUAUAAGCUUCUGGACUCUAGAACUGUGAGAAAAUGAAUUUCUUUUGUCUUAAGCCACCUAGUUGUGGUAACUGCUUAUGGCAGCCCUAGAAAACUAAUAUCCAUGAGUGCUCGCAGAAGCAGACCCUCCCCCCAGAACCCUGAGAUGACUAUAUGCCCGGUCAACACCUCAACUACAGCAUCCUGAAAAACCCUAAGCCAGAGGACUCAGCUAUGAAAAUUUGUUUCUCAGCAAUUGAUAAGCAAAAUAGCAAAGGAUUGGAGGGCAGAGGAAAUCUGUAAGGCUCCCAGGCUAAGCCCCAGAUGCCAAAAACAAUAUGGUUUUUAACAAAUCUGUAUUGGCGUCUUCCCUUCUGUAUCAAUCAUCUACUGCUGUGUAACAAACCACCUCCCAAAUUAAAGUAGCAAUCAUCUGUUUGAUCAUGAUUCUGCAGCUUGCGGUGGGGUCACCUGGACACCUUUCCUGCAGGUCUUGCACAGGACCACCCAUGUGGUCAUUCAUCCUGCAGCUCAGCUGGCGCCAGCAAGUCUAAGGAGACCUCACUGAAAAGUUUGGGGCCAUGGUGCUGGUCACUGGCCAGAUAGUUCUUUCUAUGUGGACUCUCAUCACAUAACAGUCUAGCCCAGACUUUCUCACAUGGCGCUAAGAACAUCCCCAGAGGAAAACCGUCAGCUCUGGAAAUAGCGCAGCUUCAAAGCAGAUCAGAAGGCUAGUCUAGAUUCUAGGAUUGGGGCAAGAGACUCCACUUCUUGAUGUUCCUCUUCUCAUCACCGUGACUGCUACCACUAUGGGCCACCAUCUCUUUCCUAGACAACUACAGCGGCCCCAUAAGGGCUUUCUCUGCUCCUGUCUUGUUCCUAGGACAUCCAUUCCCCGAAAUUAAAGUCAGCAGCCAGAAUGACUGCUGCGAGGCAAAUACCUCACGCUCACGCAAUCUCUCCGUCUCGAUGACCUGAAGUCCCAAGGUGUGGUCUUUCUUCACACCACCCUCCACCCUCACUGUUGAGGCUCCGGCACUACCAGCCUCCCUUGAAUAUGUCAUGAUUUCUUCUUCCCUCUUCAGGGCCUUUCCACGAGCUAUUUCCUCUAACUGAUAGGUCCUCUCCACCAUCAACCCCCUCUUCUUGUUAAUUCUCCCAGCUACACUUCAUUUAUCUAUACAAGAAUAAAAUGAGUCAAGAAACACUGGACAGGAAGCAGUUUUUCCCUUGCUAUCUUUUUUUCUAGCAGUACACGUUUGCGGUAUACAAUGUUUACAUUCCUUGUGUGGAGCUGGUACAUGUACAGAAGACAUAUUAAUUCCUCUUUUCAUCUGCUUUCCCUCCCCUCCUUCCCUACUCUAUCUCUUCAUCCCCUUCCCAUUUGAGAAAGAUCUAU
Long non-coding RNA from Heterocephalus glaber (naked mole-rat), 1593 nucleotides. Lineage: Eukaryota; Metazoa; Chordata; Mammalia; Rodentia; Bathyergidae. The record is from Ensembl.